GAUCCUGAACAGAACAUCCAUUGUCUGGGAUGGCCCCACAGACUACCUAUGGACUACUGAAAUCUUUUCCUGGGCCUCCAGUUUCUGACUUCAAGCAAGCUGGAGAGGAGAAGAAGGGAAACUAGAAAAGCUGUAGCAGCACCUGGAUGAGCACACAGCUUGCCCAGCUUUCAAAGCAAAGAUCUACUGCCUGAGAGCUCCAUUGUCAUGGAAGACGAAACUCAGGAGGCAAAAUGGAAAGCAGCAACACCCAAAAAGGACUGUGAAGCACCAGCCUUUCUCUUCACCUGCCUUGAGACUUGAAGGAGCAGAGGUUGCUGCUUUUACUGACAUUGAGCUUCUCAAAAGG
Molecule: long non-coding RNA, 349 nt
Organism: Colius striatus (speckled mousebird)
Lineage: Eukaryota; Metazoa; Chordata; Aves; Coliiformes; Coliidae
Exons: 4
Source: RefSeq, a predicted model, not a curated record